CUUUCGGAGCUAACGCGUUAAGUAGACCGCCUGGGGAGUACGGUCGCAAGAUUAAAACUCAAAUGAAUUGACGGGGGCCCGCACAAGCGGUGGAGCAUGUGGUUUAAUUCGAUGCAACGCGAAGAACCUUACCUACUCUUGACAUCCAGAGAACUUUCCAGAGAUGGAUUGGUGCCUUCGGGAACUCUGAGACAGGUGCUGCAUGGCUGUCGUCAGCUCGUGUCGUGAGAUGUUGGGUU
RNAcentral lists this ribosomal RNA (239 nucleotides) under Vibrio sp. s8p2. RNAcentral describes it as "partial 16S ribosomal RNA". It matches the Rfam family "Bacterial small subunit ribosomal RNA", at positions 843 to 1081 of the family's 1533-position model. The record is from RNAcentral. Lineage: Bacteria; Pseudomonadati; Pseudomonadota; Gammaproteobacteria; Vibrionales; Vibrionaceae.